Macaca mulatta (Rhesus monkey) is the source of this 590-nucleotide non-coding RNA. The record is from RefSeq and is a predicted model, not a curated record. Lineage: Eukaryota; Metazoa; Chordata; Mammalia; Primates; Cercopithecidae.
AUGACCAAACUCAUCUCCCAGAACAGCUCCUUCAGCACAUCUCCCUACCUGGAAGAAGAGGACUCUGGGCUUGGGUCCAGCUCACAUGGGAAAUGUUCUCUGAGAGUCACGGACAUCCUGUGCAAGAACAUGAAGCACCUGUGGUUCUUCCUCCUCCUGGUGGCAGCUCCCAGAUGGGUCCUGUCCCAGGUGCAGCUGCAGGAGUCGGGCCCAGGACUGGUGAAGCCUUCGGAGACCCUGUCCCUCACCUGCGCUGUCUCUGGUUACUCCAUCAGCAGUGGUUAUGGCUGGAGCUGGAUCCGCCAGCCCCCAGGGAAGGGGCUGGAGUGGAUUGGGUAUAUCGGUGGUAGUAGUGGUAGCACCAACUACAACCCCUCCCUCAAGAGUCGAGUCACCAUUUCAAAAGACACGUCCAAGAACCAGUUCUCCCUGAAGCUGAGCUCUGUGACCGCCGCGGACACGGCCGUGUAUUACUGUGCGAGAGACACAGAAUAAGAGUCACUAUUUCAGGUUUGGGGCCUGAGUGCACCUACUGGAUCCAGCCCAGGACUGGAGAUACUUUCCAGAACACGACAUCACCUGAGACAUGA